AGACAAGCCUGCCACUAUUCGUAAUCCUUCUUGCUUCUGCUGGCGAAUCCUUCCAAGGCAGGCAGGCAGGCAGCAGCAGCUGGGGUGGAGGGACUGCUGUCCUGAUGAAGGGGAGCUGAGUGCUGGCUUUGCUGUGCUCUGGAAUUAUUACCUGUAAAAUCUACUGGUGGAGUCACUCCAUUAUUCUUAUCUGUGGAGAUCUAGAUCUUGAUUUGAAAGUUUCUGAGAAAAUCUUCAGCUCAGACUUGAGGGUCAACUUUACCAGCUGAAGGAUCUGCAUUUACUGCUCAACCACAUCUAAUUUGAUGUCCUCUGCAGAUUUAAAAUGUGUGCCUUCUUUUCCGUCACCAAGUCAUCCCUGGGUUACUACUGAACAUCCUUCUCAAUUCCCCCCGACCCAUGGAUGGCUGUUCUCCAUUGUCUGUUUCACCAGAUGUCCUCAAAACAAACAGACAGAAGAAGGAAGUGGCUAAUGGAGCUGUGGAGUCCAAGUGUGACUGCCAAGAGGAAUCCAGCAAAGCCAAAAAGCCCAAGCAUGUAGCCCUGCCCGAAGCACGCCACACGCAUGGAAAACCCAGAGGAAAUGAGUGAGGAUCAAUGGGAAGAAGAGAGCCAGCCAGGAAGUUGAAGAUUUGUCCAGGAGCAGAUAGCUGAAGAGAGAGAGAGAGAAGAGAGAACGGCUUACAGCUCAGGUCCUCUCUCCAUGCUUAGGAACCACUACAAAUGCUACUGCCUUGAGUCUCAUUUUGUUUCCCUCUGGAAACCACAUGUGUACCUUGUUUGCAACAGUAUGGUUCUGGAGACCAGAAGGCCAAAAUCAAAAGUAUGGGCAGGCUUGAUUUCUUUAGAAGACUCCAGCGGAGAACUGUGUCUCCUUGCUUCUGAUUCUACAUCUCCAUCCAUGGGCCACUGUUUCAGCAACCUCAGCCAGUGCAACACAACCUCAGCCAAGAAGAGUAUGCAGAGAAAGGAGUCCCCUACCUGCCACAAAACUGUUGUCUGAAAACUGUCUCAUAUUGUCUCAAGUUGUCAUUCAUUGUGAAUUAGACCUGUUUAACAUGUAAUCUGCAACAUGCUUCACUGUCUAAUUUUCCAGAGCCCCUCAUAUAAGGAACUGUAUUAUUGGUAUAAUCAUCAUGGUGAAGAAGUUGGUAUGUGGGGGAGAGAUGACAGAAACAGAGAGUAAGUCAGAGCUGGCUGCCUGACAGAUAAAAAGGAAAUGACCAAAAAAAAAAAAAAAGACACAGAAGAAUACUUUGUUGUCCACACAGAAAAGGGAAGUGUAGGUAAGACAGCAGUAGACUAAGAUUCUUAAGACUCAAGUUCUAGUCUUAUUUAUUAGCUAUGGGAGGCCUUGAGGGAGUUCUAGAAUUAAGUGAUCUCUCUUUAUAAAAUAGGAACAGUAAUAACUUCCUGGCUAACUCCCUGGCUGUCUCACAAUGCUGUAGUAGUAAGAAAUAAUUUUAUAAUUAAAGACUAUUUUAGGGCUGAUUACAUUUUUGGGCAGUGGCUCAUACAUGUAAUUUCAACAUUUUGGGAGGCCAAGGUGGGCGGAUUGCUUGAGCCCAGGAAUUCAAGACCAGGCUGGGCAACACAGACCUUGUCACUACAAAAGAAAAAAACAUUAGCUAGGCGUGGUGAUGUAUGCCUGUGGUCCCAGCUACUCAGGAAGCUGAGACAGGAGGAUCACCUGAGCCUGGGAGGUCGAGGCUACAGUGAGCCAUGAUCACACUACUGCACUCCAGCCUGGGAAACAGAGUGAGACUCUGUCUCAAAAAAAAAAAAAAAGGAAUAUUUUACACUUCAAGGUUCUAUACAAAUGUAAAAUAUCAUUCUAUUACUUAUUUAUAAUGCUGAUUAUUCUUUAAAUGACUUUAAAAUGUUAAUCUCUGCUUGAGCCUACGGAGAAGUAUGUAACAAAUUUGUGAAGGAUUGGCAUUAAACAUAGUCAAAAUAAAACAUAGAAA
This 1967-nucleotide long non-coding RNA is filed under the name Homo sapiens (human). RNAcentral's name for it is "cancer susceptibility 15". Lineage: Eukaryota; Metazoa; Chordata; Mammalia; Primates; Hominidae. The record is from RNAcentral.